RNA transcript from Zea mays, 1068 nucleotides. It is a transcript of the gene named alpha/beta-Hydrolases superfamily pseudogene, with no coding region annotated. The record is from RefSeq and is marked validated. NCBI's taxonomy places the organism in Eukaryota, Viridiplantae, Streptophyta, Magnoliopsida, Poales, Poaceae. The transcript has a single exon.
AGGCAGUAGUGUUUUCUGUUCUUUUUCGAUGUCUCAGUUUACAGACUGAAGCCAUACAUAUGGCACAACGACUGGGCCACACUAUUACAGUCAACGAACCCACUCUGGACCGGACACCUUGCUAUUGGGCUUAAGCUUCCUUUUUAAUCUUGGCUGUAGCAGCACACCAUCUUCUUCGCUUCCAGUCUCUGGCGCAGGUUCACUUGUCUUGGCAUCCUUGCGUGUGCUAACAGAAGCUUUCCAUCAGCAUAUUCAGGCCGGGUUUAGACACUGACCCCUACUUCUCUGGGCCCUGUGAACGAACGGAUACCCUGACGGCCGGGCAGAGAAAUGGUGCAAAACGUUAGCGAAGUAGCCUGGUCGUUGAAACCUGAAAAAAAUGGUCUGGCUGCUGCUGCUGCAUGGUUGCAUAAGCUCGUUUUUUACAUGCCUGAUGGCUGUAUUCUCCUGGUUUGCUGUGCUCAUUCCACUGGCAUUUACAACUUGGCAGGCAUCUCUGUACCCUCACAUCAGGGAGAAACUGGAAGGCAUCGUUCUGACAUCGCCCGCGCUGCGUGUGAAGCCUGCGCAUCCUAUUGUUGGGGCUGUGGCGCCGAUCUUCUCUCUGGAAGGCAUCGUUCAAGGGCGCCAACAAGAGGGGCAUCCCGGUGUCCCGCGACCCCACGGCGCUGCUGGCCAAGUACUCGGACCCGCUGGUGUACACGGGGCCGAUCAGGGUGCGGACGGGGCACGAGAUCCUGCGCAUCUAUCUCCUCCCACCUGCUGCACCGCCUGGAGAAGGUCACCGUCCCGUUCCUGGUGCUGCACGGCACCGCCGACCGGGUGACGGACCCGCUGGCGUCGCGCGAGCUCUACGGCGCGGCGGCGUCCGCGCACAAGGACCUGCGCCUGUACGACGGGUUCCUGCACGACCUGCUCUUCGAGCCCGAGCGCGACGAGGUCGGCGCCGAGAUCGUCGCCUGGAUGGACGGGAUGCUCCGGCUCCGGCGGCAGGCUGGAUGAAGGGAUGGCCGUGCUGCUUCUCUCUCCUUCUAGGUGGUGUUCCUCUCCAAAGAUAAGAUGGAUGCA